AUUGAACGCUGGCGGCAGGCCUAACACAUGCCAGUCGAGCGGAUGAAGGGAGCUUGCUCCUGGAUUCAGCGGCGGACGGGUGAGUAAUGCCUAGGAAUCUGCCUGGUAGUGGGGGAUAACGUCCGGAAACGGGCGCUAAUACCGCAUACGUCCUGAGGGAGAAAGUGGGGGAUCUUCGGACCUCACGCUAUCAGAUGAGCCUAGGUCGGAUUAGCUAGUUGGUGGGGUAAAGGCCUACCAAGGCGACGAUCCGUAACUGGUCUGAUAGGAUGAUCAGUCACACUGGAACUGAGACACGGUCCAGACUCCUACGGGACGCAGCAGUGGGGAAUAUUGGACAAUGGGCGAAAGCCUGAUACAGCCGUGCCGAGUGUGUGAAGAAGGUCUUCGGAUUGUAAAGCACUUUAAGUUGGGAGGAAGGGCAGUAAGUUAAUACCUUGCUGUUUUGACGUUACCAACAGAAUAAGCACCGGCUAACUUCGUG
This 484-nucleotide ribosomal RNA is filed under the name uncultured bacterium. Its description in RNAcentral is "partial 16S ribosomal RNA". It matches the Rfam family "Bacterial small subunit ribosomal RNA", at positions 30 to 507 of the family's 1533-position model. The record is from RNAcentral.